GAUGAACGCUGGCGGCGUGCCUAAUACAUGCAAGUCGAGCGAACAGACGAGGAGCUUGCUCCUCUGACGUUAGCGGCGGACGGGUGAGUAACACGUGGAUAACCUACCUAUAAGACUGGGAUAACUUCGGGAAACCGGAGCUAAUACCGGAUAAUAUAUUGAACCGCAUGGUUCAAUAGUGAAAGACGGUUUUGCUGUCACUUAUAGAUGGAUCCGCGCCGCAUUAGCUAGUUGGUAAGGUAACGGCUUACCAAGGCGACGAUGCGUAGCCGGCCUGAGAGGGUGAGCGGCCACACUGGAACUGAGACGCGGUCCAGACUCCUACGGGAGGCAGCGGUAGGGAAGCUGCCGAAAUGGGCGAAAGCCUGACGGAGCAACGCCGCGUGGGUGAUGAAGGUCUUCGGAUCGUAAAACUCUGUUAUUAGGGAAGAACAAAUGUGUAAGUAACUAUGCACGUCUUGACGGUACCUAAUCAGAAAGCCACGGCUAACUACGUG
Molecule: ribosomal RNA, 497 nt
Filed under: uncultured bacterium
Lineage: Bacteria
Description: partial 16S ribosomal RNA
Rfam family: Bacterial small subunit ribosomal RNA
Source: RNAcentral